RNAcentral lists this ribosomal RNA (468 nucleotides) under uncultured bacterium. RNAcentral's name for it is "partial 16S ribosomal RNA". It matches the Rfam family "Bacterial small subunit ribosomal RNA", at positions 28 to 507 of the family's 1533-position model. The record is from RNAcentral.
GACGAACGCUGGCGGCGUGCUUAACACAUGCAAGUCGAACGGAAAGGCCCUGCUUUUGUGGGGUGCUCGAGUGGCGAACGGGUGGGUAACACGUGAGUAACCUGCCCUUGACUUUGGGAUAGCUUCAGGAAACUGGGGCUAAUACCGGAUAGGAGCUCCUGCUGCAUUGUGGGGGUUGGAAAGUGUCGGCGGUUGGGGAUGGACUCGCGGCUGAUCAGCUUGUUGGUGGGGUAGUGGCGUACCAAGGCUUUGACGGGUAGCCGGCCUGAGAGGGUGACCGGCCACAUUGGGACUGAGAUACGGCCCAGACUCCUACGGGAGGCAGCAGUGGGGAAUAGUGCACAAUGGGCGGAAGCCUGAUGCAGCAACGCCGCGUGCGGGAUGACGGCCUUCGGGUUGUAAACCGCUUUCGCCUGUGACGAAGCGUGAGUAACGGUAAUGGGUAAAGAAGCACCGGCUAACUACGUG